CCUCCUUCGAAGGACCCCCGGCCCACGUCCUUCGCACCCCAGGAAGACCGCAAAGAUUGAAGUGAGCGGCUAGCCUUCAUAUCAGCGUCACCUGUCCUCACCUCUGCGUAGCUCAUGUCGCCUACCAACCAAUUCCCAGCUGCUUGUGAAUGCACGUGCAGGCCGCGCCCACCACGAUGGGACGCUACAGGGAGCAACUGCAUAAGAUGGAAUUCUACAAAGCCAAAGUGGAGGUUGAGGCAGUAUAAAUACACGUAGAAAGAGUUAAAGGAGGAUGACAGGGUGCUCCAGGAGACCAAAGAGAUUUUGGAGGAUCAGUUGGAAGGCUGGAGGGCACGCUCAGAUAAAAUCCACCAGCUGGAGAAGCACAUCUGCUGCUGAAGGCCCAGGUACAUGACAAGGAACAGGAGUGGGAGGCAGAUUGGAGGCGCAUCGAGGAAUUACGAACGGAGAACUUGGCUUUGUGUUUGGCACAGAGGAGGAGUAUGGAGGAAUCCCGACACCUGAGCUGGGAGUUAGAGCAACUCUCCAAGACCACAGAAAACUCCCAGGAACACCCAUCCAAGAAAUACCAAAAAAACAGGGACAAAACAGGGGGGA
This is a long non-coding RNA of Archocentrus centrarchus (flier cichlid), 600 nucleotides long. RefSeq lists it as uncharacterized. NCBI's taxonomy places the organism in Eukaryota, Metazoa, Chordata, Actinopteri, Cichliformes, Cichlidae. The record is from RefSeq and is a predicted model, not a curated record. The transcript is spliced from 5 exons.